GACGAACGCUGGCGGCGUGCUUAACACAUGCAAGUCGAACGAUGAAGCACCAGCUUGCUGGUGUGGAUUAGUGGCGAACGGGUGAGUAACACGUGAGUAACCUGCCCCUCACUCUGGGAUAAGCCUGGGAAACUGGGUCUAAUACUGGAUACGACCGAUCUCCGCAUGGAGUGUUGGUGGAAAGUUUUUGUGGUGGGGGAUGGACUCGCGGCCUAUCAGCUUGUUGGUGGGGUAGUGGCCUACCAAGGCGACGACGGGUAGCCGGCCUGAGAGGGCGACCGGCCACACUGGGACUGAGACACGGCCCAGACUCCUACGGGAGGCAGCAGUGGGGAAUAUUGCACAAUGGGCGAAAGCCUGAUGCAGCGACGCCGCGUGAGGGAUGACGGCCUUCGGGUUGUAAACCUCUUCCACCAGGGACGAAGCUAACGUGACGGUACCUGGAGAAGAAGCACCGGCUAACUACGUG
This 469-nucleotide ribosomal RNA is filed under the name uncultured bacterium. RNAcentral's name for it is "partial 16S ribosomal RNA". It matches the Rfam family "Bacterial small subunit ribosomal RNA", at positions 28 to 507 of the family's 1533-position model. The record is from RNAcentral.